AUUGAACGCUGGCGGCAUGCCUUACACAUGCAAGUCGAACGGCAGCACGGGAGCAAUCCUGGUGGCGAGUGGCGAACGGGUGAGUAAUACAUCGGAACGUGCCCAGUUGUGGGGGAUAGCCCGGCGAAAGCCGGAUUAAUACCGCAUACGACCUACGGGUGAAAGCGGGGGACCGCAAGACCUCGCGCUAUUGGAGCGGCCGAUGUCGGAUUAGCUAGUUGGUGGGGUAAAAGCCUACCAAGGCUACGAUCCGUAGCUGGUCUGAGAGGACGACCAGCCACACUGGGACUGAGACACGGCCCAGACUCCUACGGGAGGCAGCAGUGGGGAAUUUUGGACAAUGGGCGCAAGCCUGAUCCAGCCAUGCCGCGUGCGGGAAGAAGGCCUUCGGGUUGUAAACCGCUUUUGUCAGGGAAGAAACGGUUUGGGCUAUACCCCGAACUAAUGACGGUACCUGAAGAAUAAGCACCGGCUAACUACGUGCCAGCCGCCGCGGUAA
Molecule: ribosomal RNA, 499 nt
Filed under: uncultured bacterium
Lineage: Bacteria
Description: partial 16S ribosomal RNA
Rfam family: Bacterial small subunit ribosomal RNA
Source: RNAcentral